This 238-nucleotide ribosomal RNA is filed under the name uncultured bacterium. RNAcentral describes it as "partial 16S ribosomal RNA". It matches the Rfam family "Bacterial small subunit ribosomal RNA", at positions 15 to 236 of the family's 1533-position model. The record is from RNAcentral.
GAUCAUGGCUCAGGAUGAACGCUGGCGGCGUGCCUAACACAUGCAGGUCGAACGAGGUAUUUUGAUUGAAGUUUUCGGAUGGAUUUCAAGAUGCCGAGUGGCGGACGGGUGAGUAACGCGUGGGUAACCUGCCUCAUACAGGGGGAUAACGGUUAGAAAUGACUGCUAAUACCGCAUAAGCGCACAGUACCGCAUGGUACGGUGUGAAAAACUCCGGUGGUAUGAGAUGGACCCGCGU